GAAUAAAAGAACUCCGUGAAUUCGAUCCUAAAAUACUGUAAUUGAUCUCUUAUUUGAGAGAGUAGUUCUAGGUAAUUUGAACCAUAUCACUCCUAAUUCAUCUCUAACUCUUAUAAUUAGUUAAUGCAUUGGAUUGUGACACAUUUUGACCAUGAAAACACAAACAAAACUGUUUACUGAUUCUAAGCAAUUUUUUGUUGGUUUAGGUUCUUUUGGGAGAAAAUGGGUAUAAGUGUUUUCUAAACACUCCUAAUCCAACUCUAACUCUUAUCAUUAGUCAAAUGCAUUGGAUUGUGACACAUUUUGACCAUAGAAACAGUAGCAAAGCUAUUUACUGCUCCUAAGCAAAUUUUUGUUGGUUUUAGCCUCUUUUGGGACAAAAUGGGUAUAAUUAUUGGCUAAACACUCUUAAUCCAUCUCUAACUCUUAUAAUUAGUCAAAUGCAUUAGAUUUUGACCUAUUUUA
Molecule: small RNA, 465 nt
Filed under: Arabidopsis thaliana (thale cress)
Lineage: Eukaryota; Viridiplantae; Streptophyta; Magnoliopsida; Brassicales; Brassicaceae
Description: ATSL035300
Source: RNAcentral